AGGACGAACGCUGGCGGCGUGCUUAACACAUGCAAGUGGAGCGACGAACCAGGGCUUGCCCUGGGGCAGAGCCGCGAACGGGUGAGUAACACGUGGGUUACCUGCCUUGAUGACCGGGACAACCCGAGGAAACUCGGGCUAAUACCGGAUGUGCCCGCAAGGGGAAAGGAAGCUUCGGCCUCCGCAUCAAGAUGGGCCCGCGGCCCAUUAGCUUGUUGGUGAGGUAACGGCUCACCAAGGCUUCGAUGGGUAGCUGGUCUGAGAGGACGAUCAGCCACACUGGGACUGAGACACGGCCCAGACUCCUACGGGAGGCAGCAGUGGGGAAUCUUGCGCAAUGCGCGAAAGCGUGACGCAGCAACGCCGCGUGGGGGAAGAAGGCUUUCGGGUUGUAAACCCCUUUCAGUUGGGACGAAGCUUCUCCGGUGAAUAGCCGGAUGGAGUGACGGUACCUUCACAAGAAGCACCGGCUAACUACGCGCCAGCAGCCGCGGU
RNAcentral lists this ribosomal RNA (495 nucleotides) under uncultured bacterium. RNAcentral describes it as "SSU rRNA". It matches the Rfam family "Bacterial small subunit ribosomal RNA", at positions 26 to 521 of the family's 1533-position model. The record is from RNAcentral.